Molecule: ribosomal RNA, 301 nt
Filed under: uncultured bacterium
Lineage: Bacteria
Description: partial 16S ribosomal RNA
Rfam family: Bacterial small subunit ribosomal RNA
Source: RNAcentral
CAGCCGCCACGGUAAUACGAAGGGGGCUAGCGUUGCUCGGAAUGACUGGGCGUAAAGGGCGCGUAGGCGGAUGGCACGGUCAGAUGUGAAAUUCCCGGGCUUAACCUGGGGGCUGCGUUUGAUACGUGUCGCCUAGAGUGAGGAAGAGGGUUGUGGAAUUCCCAGUGUAGAGGUGAAAUUCGUAGGUAUUGGGAAGAACACCGGUGGCGAAGGCGGCAACCUGGUCCUUGACUGACGCUGAGGCGCGAAAGCGUGGGGAGCAAACAGGAUUAGAUACCCCCGUAGUCCCUGUCUCUUAUAC